AUUAAUUGUAAUGUUUAAAUUAUUUAUAAUCUCUAAUCAAUUUUUCUUUUGAAAAAAUAGGUGAUAGUGGUUAUCCGUGCCGAACUUGGCUGUUGACACCUGUCCCAAUGCCACAUACCAGAGGAGAAAUUAAAUUUAAUGAAUCCCACCGUAGCACAAGAAGUGCUAUCGAAAGAACUUUUGGGGUUUUAAAAAUGCGUUUCAGAGUUUUGGAUAGGUCUGGAGGAGCACUUCAAUAUUCGCCUGAAAAAUGUAAUGAUAUAAUUCUAGUUGCAUGCAUGUUGCACAACAUUGCAAUUUCCCAAGGCAAUUUAGAGGAGGAGUGUCCCAAUGAUCCCACAGAUGACACUUAUAUCCCUCAAGAAAUUAUAGGCAGACACACUACAAGGGCAGGUGUACAAAAUAGAUUGGAAAUUAUUGAAAGAUAUUUUUCAUAAUACAUGUCAUCACCCCGAGUUUUAAUUAUUUUAUAAGAAAUGUACACAAUUCUUUGAUAUUGAAGUUAACUCCACCCAUUUGAAAAAAUAAAACUUUUGCUUAUUUAUCAAAAA
Long non-coding RNA from Bombina bombina (fire-bellied toad), 551 nucleotides. RefSeq lists it as uncharacterized. Lineage: Eukaryota; Metazoa; Chordata; Amphibia; Anura; Bombinatoridae. The transcript has 2 exons. The record is from RefSeq and is a predicted model, not a curated record.